UGCUGGCCAGCUGGCCUCGGAUUUGUGAGGGCUGCUCUGUGCGCGUGCGCGCGUAUGUGUACGCACGCGCCCUGCGUGCGUCGGCGCAUGCGCCCAUGUGCGUGUGCACGUGUGCCCAUUGCAUGUCCUCGCCCCUCACUCAUAAACAAAGGACUUCGUGCAAGAGAGUGACGGCUGAGAAGCUGGAGCGCCCUGCGGAGCAAGGUCCUGGUUCACAGCUUCCUAAACCCUUGGAACUUCGUCCUAUACAACACAGAUCUGCAAAGAAAUAUCUAUCUAAUCAAGGUCAAGUCUUCAACAAUGAAAAUUUGUUUCACCGAUAAUCAAUCUUCUCUCCAACUGAUCUUUCCAGAUACACAAUAGAUACAUAGUAACUUCUCAUUUUCAUGCUGAAUUAUAGUAUAAUCUUUCUGAAGAUCAUGUCACACAUGCACCUAACAGUGCAGACUAUCCAGAUGAGCAGCGAUGAUAACGUAAACAGCCACGACCAGGCUCCGGUUCGUAAAGCACAAAUACGUCCUCACUAAUGCCUGGUGAAGAGUAACACACAAUGCCGUGGAUUCUUAGACCUACUCACGCUGAUUUCAAGGGCAAUAAAAUCUUAGUGUCAAUAUCAUUUACUAAGUUUUGAUAUCUAAUAAGGAGAAUCCUUCCCUCUUGGUGGUGGUUGUUUUAAGCCACUCAGCUUUGGGGGCGAUUAUUUAUUUAUUUAUUUUAUAAAAAAUAUUUUAUUUAUUUAUUUGACAGACAGAGAUCACAAGUAGGCAUAGAGGCAGGCAGAGAAAGAGGGGGAGGCAGGCUCCCUGCUGAGCAGAGAGCCUGAUGUGGGACCCUGGGAUCAUGACUUUAGUUGAAGGCAAAGGCUUUAACCCACUGAGCCAUCCAGGUGCCCGUGGGGGUGAUUUAUUAUGCAACAAAAUCUUAGUGAUAUUUUCAUUUAUAAAGUUAGUCAUGAAAUGCAUCUGUUUCUAAAGUUAUACUGAUUCCUCAUUAAAUAAAAAGUUAGAUAUCUGUGUUAUGAUAAAAGGAGAAAUGACAUCUUAGCCAUUGUGUUUAUUUAAAUGUCAACCUGUUCUUUCUGUAAAUAACCAUGUAGGUGGGGAAAGCUGAAAGUCACCUAGAUUUAGGCCGGGAAGGAAAGACAAGUAAGCUCAGAAAAACCACAGGUCACAUUGUGGCUAAGAAUUCAGACUGAUAUUUAUGAGCAAUUGUAGCAAAGAUUCAGUCAUUUAAAAAUAUGUGCUUUUAGGGGUGAGUAAUAAACCUUUCCAGAAUCGAAAGGGUUUUUCCUGUUGUCAGCCCCUUUCCAGUCCCUGUUAGCUCAUCCAGAGGAAUAAAGUGUCAGAAUACCCUUUGAACAACCUAACACUUAACAUUUUAAAAAUUAACAUAUAAUGUAUUAUUUGCCCCAGGGGUACAGGUCUGUGAAUCAUCAGUCUUAGACA
This is a long non-coding RNA of Mustela lutreola (European mink), 1445 nucleotides long. RefSeq lists it as uncharacterized. The transcript has 3 exons. Lineage: Eukaryota; Metazoa; Chordata; Mammalia; Carnivora; Mustelidae. The record is from RefSeq and is a predicted model, not a curated record.